AGUGAACGCUGGCGGUAGGCCUAACACAUGCAAGUCGAACGGCAGCACAGUAAGAGCUUGCUCUUACGGGUGGCGAGUGGCGGGCGGGUGAGGAAUACAUCGGAAUCUACUUUUUCGUGGGGGAUAACGUAGGGAAACUUACGCUAAUACCGCAUACGACCUACGGGUGAAAGCAGGGGAUCUUCGGACCUUGCGCGAUUGAAUGAGCCGAUGUCGGAUUAGCUAGUUGGCGGGGUAAAGGCCCACCAAGGCGACGAUCCGUAGCCGGUCUGAGAGGAUGAUCAGCCACACUGGAACUGAGACACGGUCCAGACUCCUACGGGAGGCAGCAGUGGGGAAUAUUGGACAAUGGGCGCAAGCCUGAUCCAGCCAUACCGCGUGGGUGAAGAAGGCCUUCGGGUUGUAAAGCCCUUUUGUUGGGAAAGAAAAGCAGCAGGUUAAUACCCCGCUGUUCUGACGGUACCCAAAGAAUAAGCACCGGCUAACUUCGUG
Molecule: ribosomal RNA, 492 nt
Filed under: uncultured bacterium
Lineage: Bacteria
Description: partial 16S ribosomal RNA
Rfam family: Bacterial small subunit ribosomal RNA
Source: RNAcentral